Molecule: small RNA, 123 nt
Filed under: Mesorhizobium australicum WSM2073
Lineage: Bacteria; Pseudomonadati; Pseudomonadota; Alphaproteobacteria; Hyphomicrobiales; Phyllobacteriaceae
Description: Alphaproteobacterial ar14
Rfam family: Alphaproteobacterial ar14
About the family: Smr14C2 was renamed NfeR1 (Nodule Formation Efficiency RNA) highly expressed in salt stress and during the symbiotic interaction on legume roots.
Source: Rfam by way of RNAcentral
GGAAUUUCGCUGGGGUCGACCUCCUCCCCGACCCAAGCGAAUACGGUCCGCCCUUACCCUCCUCCCAAGGGCUGACCAUCAAAACGGCGCCCGCUGCACCUCCUCCCGCGGCGGGCGUUGUUU